ACCUACGGGACGCAGCAGUUAGGGAUAUUCGUCAAUGGGGGAAACCCUGAACGAGCAAUGCCGCGUGAAUGAAGACGGUCCUAUGGAUUGUAAAAUUCUGUUGUUAGGGACGAACGACCGUAGUAGGAAAUGACUACGGAGUGACGGUACCUUUCAAGAAAGCUCCGGCUAACUACGUGCCAGCAGCCGCGGUAAUACGUAGGUGGCGAGCGUUGUCCGGAAUUACUGGGUGCAAA
This 236-nucleotide ribosomal RNA is filed under the name uncultured bacterium. RNAcentral's name for it is "partial 16S ribosomal RNA". It matches the Rfam family "Bacterial small subunit ribosomal RNA", at positions 337 to 564 of the family's 1533-position model. The record is from RNAcentral.